This 543-nucleotide ribosomal RNA is filed under the name uncultured bacterium. RNAcentral describes it as "bacterial SSU rRNA". It matches the Rfam family "Bacterial small subunit ribosomal RNA", at positions 8 to 524 of the family's 1533-position model. The record is from RNAcentral.
AGAGUUUGAUCCUGGCUCAGGACGAACGCUGGCGGCGUGCCUAAUACAUGCAAGUCGAACGGUCUUUUCUAUGGAAGCUUGCUUCCACUGAGAAGAUAGUGGCGGACGGGUGAGUAACACGUGGGUAACCUGCCCAUAAGAGGGGGAUAACAUCCGGAAACGGGUGCUAAUACCGCAUAGUUUUCUUGAUCGCAUGAUUGAGAAAGGAAAGACGGCCUUUGUGCUGUCGCUUAUGGAUGGACCCGCGGCGUAUUAGUUAGUUGGUGAGGUAAUGGCUCACCAAGACGAUGAUACGUAGCCGACCUGAGAGGGUGAUCGGCCACAUUGGGACUGAGACACGGCCCAAACUCCUACGGGAGGCAGCAGUAGGGAAUCUUCCGCAAUGGACGAAAGUCUGACGGAGCAACGCCGCGUGAGUGAAGAAGGUUUUCGGAUCGUAAAACUCUGUUGUCAGAGAAGAACAAGUUGGAGAGUAACUGCUCCAGCCUUGACGGUAUCUGACCAGAAAGCCACGGCUAACUACGUGCCAGCAGCCGCGGUAAU